RNAcentral lists this unclassified non-coding RNA (19 nucleotides) under synthetic construct. The record is from RNAcentral.
GUAGCUGAUAUUGAUGGAC